AUUGAACGCUGGCGGCAUGCCUUACACAUGCAAGUCGAACGGCAGCACGGGAGCAAUCCUGGUGGCGAGUGGCGAACGGGUGAGUAAUAUAUCGGAACGUGCCCAGUCGUGGGGAUAACGUAGCGAAAGCUACGCUAAUACCGCAUACGAUCUAUGGAUGAAAGCGGGGGAUCGCAAGACCUCGCGCGAUUGGAGCGGCCGAUAUCAGAUUAGGUAGUUGGUGAGGUAAAGGCUCACCAAGCCGACGAUCUGUAGCUGGUCUGAGAGGACGACCAGCCACACUGGAACUGAGACACGGCCCAGACUCCUACGGGAGGCAGCAGUGGGGAAUUUUGGACAAUGGGCGCAAGCCUGAUCCAGCAAUGCCGCGUGCAGGAUGAAGGCCUUCGGGUUGUAAACUGCUUUGUACGACGAACGGUGAGCUCUAAUACAGUUUGCUAAUGACGGUACCGUAAGAAUAAG
This 462-nucleotide ribosomal RNA is filed under the name uncultured bacterium. Its description in RNAcentral is "bacterial SSU rRNA". It matches the Rfam family "Bacterial small subunit ribosomal RNA", at positions 30 to 490 of the family's 1533-position model. The record is from RNAcentral.